Molecule: ribosomal RNA, 254 nt
Filed under: uncultured bacterium
Lineage: Bacteria
Description: partial 16S ribosomal RNA
Rfam family: Bacterial small subunit ribosomal RNA
Source: RNAcentral
UACGGGGGGGGCAAGCGUUGUUCGGAAUUACUGGGCGUAAAGGGCUCGUAGGCGGCCAACUAAGUCAGACGUGAAAUCCCUCGGCUUAACCGGGGAACUGCGUCUGAUACUGGAUGGCUUGAGGUUGGGAGAGGGAUGCGGAAUUCCAGGUGUAGCGGUGAAAUGCGUAGAUAUCUGGAGGAACACCGGUGGCGAAGGCGGCAUCCUGGACCAAUCCUGACGCUGAGUGAGCGAAAGCCAGGGGAGCAAACGGG